AGAUUGAACGCUGGCGGCAUGCCUUACACAUGCAAGUCGAACGGCAGCACGGGAGCAAUCCUGGUGGCGAGUGGCGAACGGGUGAGUAAUAUAUCGGAACGUGCCCAAUCGUGGGGGAUAACGCAGCGAAAGCUGUGCUAAUACCGCAUACGAUCUACGGAUGAAAGCGGGGGACUCAGCAAUGGGCCUCGCGCGAAUGGAGCGGCCGAUAUCAGAUUAGCUAGUUGGUGGGGUAAAGGCUCACCAAGGCGACGAUCUGUAGCUGGUCUGAGAGGAUGAUCCGCCACACUGGGACUGAGACACGGCCCAGACUCCUACGGGAGGCAGCAGUGGGGAAUUUUGGACAAUGGGCGAAAGCCUGAUCCAGCCAUGCCGCGUGAGUGAAGAAGGCCUUCGGGUUGUAAAGCUCUUUCGGCUGGGAAGAAAUCGCACAGGCUAAUACUCUGUGUGGAUGACGGUACCAGCACAAGAAGCACCGGCUAACUACGUGCCAGCAGCCGCGGUAAUA
This 508-nucleotide ribosomal RNA is filed under the name uncultured bacterium. RNAcentral describes it as "bacterial SSU rRNA". It matches the Rfam family "Bacterial small subunit ribosomal RNA", at positions 26 to 525 of the family's 1533-position model. The record is from RNAcentral.